UUUGAUCCUGGCUCAGAUUGAACGCUGGCGGCAGGCCUAACACAUGCAAGUCGAGCGGCAGCACGGGAAGCUUGCUUCCUGGUGGCGAGCGGCGGACGGGUGAGUAAUGCAUAGGAAUCUGCCCGGUAGUGGGGGAUAACCUGGGGAAACCCAGGCUAAUACCGCAUACGUCCUACGGGAGAAAGCAGGGGCUCUUCGGACCUUGCGCUAUCGGAUGAGCCUAUGUCGGAUUAGCUGGUUGGUGAGGUAAUGGCUCACCAAGGCGACGAUCCGUAGCUGGUCUGAGAGGAUGAUCAGCCACAUCGGGACUGAGACACGGCCCGAACUCCUACGGGAGGCAGCAGUGGGGAAUAUUGGACAAUGGGCGCAAGCCUGAUCCAGCCAUGCCGCGUGUGUGAAGAAGGCCCUCGGGUUGUAAAGCACUUUCAGUGGGGAAGAACGCCUUCCGGUUAAUACCCGGGAGGAAGGACAUCACCCACAGAAGAAGCACCGGCUAACUCCGUGCCAGCAGCCGCGGUAAUACGGAGGGUGCGAGCGUUAAUCGGAAUUACUGGGCGUAAAGCGCGCGUAGGUGGCUUGAUAAGCCGGUUGUGAAAGCCCCGGGCUCAACCUGGGAACGGCAUCCGGAACUGUCAGGCUAGAGUGCAGGAGAGGAAGGUAGAAUUCCCGGUGUAGCGGUGAAACGCGUAGAGAUCGGGAGGAAUACCAGUGGCGAAGGCGGCCUUCUGGACUGACACUGACACUGAGGUGCGAAAGCGUGGGUAGCAAACAGGAUUAGAUACCCUGGUAGUCCACGCCGUAAACGAUGUCGACUAGCCGUUGGGUCCUUCGCGGACUUUGUGGCGCAGUUAACGCGAUAAGUCGACCGCCUGGGGAGUACG
RNAcentral lists this ribosomal RNA (881 nucleotides) under uncultured Halomonas sp. RNAcentral describes it as "bacterial SSU rRNA". It matches the Rfam family "Bacterial small subunit ribosomal RNA", at positions 12 to 884 of the family's 1533-position model. The record is from RNAcentral. Lineage: Bacteria; Pseudomonadati; Pseudomonadota; Gammaproteobacteria; Oceanospirillales; Halomonadaceae.